RNAcentral lists this ribosomal RNA (497 nucleotides) under uncultured bacterium. Its description in RNAcentral is "partial 16S ribosomal RNA". It matches the Rfam family "Bacterial small subunit ribosomal RNA", at positions 28 to 507 of the family's 1533-position model. The record is from RNAcentral.
GAUGAACGCUGGCGGCGUGCCUAAUACAUGCAAGUCGAGCGAACAGAUGAGGAGCUUGCUCCUCUGACGUUAGCGGCGGACGGGUGAGUAACACGUGGAUAACCUACCUAUAAGACUGGGAUAACUUCGGGAAACCGGAGCUAAUACCGGAUAAUAUAUUGAACCGCAUGGUUCAAUAGUGAAAGUCGGUUUUGCUGUCACUUAUAGAUGGAUCUGCGCCGCAUUAGCUAGUUGGUAAGGUAACGGCUUACCAAGGCAACGAUGCGUAGCCGACGUGCGAGGGGGAUCGGCCACAUUGGAACUGAGACACGGUCCAUACUCCUACGGGAGGCAGCAGUAGGGAACCUUCCGCAAUGGGCGAAAGCCUGACGGAGCAACGCCGCGUGAGUGAUGAAGAUCUUCGGAUCGUAAAACUCUGUUAUGAGGGAAGAACAAAUGUGUAAGUAACUAUGCACGUCUUGACGGUACCUAAUCAGAAAGCCACGGCUAACUACGUG